UACGUAGGGUGCGAGCGUUAAUCGGAAUUACUGGGCGUAAAGCGUGCGCAGGCGGUCUGUUAAGACCGAUGUGAAAUCCCCGGGCUUAACUUGGGAAUUGCGCUCGAAACUACGGUGCUGGAGUGUGGCAGAGGAAGGUGGAAUUCCACGUGUAGCGGUGAAAUGCGCAGAUAUCAGGAGGAACACCGGUGGCGAAGGCGGGACUCUGGGCCGAUACUGACGCUGAGGAGCGAAAGCGUGGGGAGCAAACAGG
Molecule: ribosomal RNA, 253 nt
Filed under: uncultured bacterium
Lineage: Bacteria
Description: partial 16S ribosomal RNA
Rfam family: Bacterial small subunit ribosomal RNA
Source: RNAcentral